UCGUAACAAGGUCUCCGUUGGUGAACCAGCGGAGGGAUCAUUACUGAGUUUACGCUCUACAACCCUUUGUGAACAUACCUAUAACUGUUGCUUCGGCGGGUAGGGUCUCCGCGACCCUCCCGGCCUCCCGCCUCCGGGCGGGUCGGCGCCCGCCGGAGGAUAACCAAACUCUGAUUUAACGACGUUUCUUCUGAGUGGUACAAGCAAAUAAUCAAAACUUUUAACAACGGAUCUCUUGGUUCUGGCAUCGAUGAAGAACGCAGCGAAAUGCGAUAAGUAAUGUGAAUUGCAGAAUUCAGUGAAUCAUCGAAUCUUUGAACGCACAUUGCGCCCGCCAGCAUUCUGGCGGGCAUGCCUGUUCGAGCGUCAUUUCAACCCUCAAGCUCUGCUUGGUGUUGGGGCCCUACAGCUGAUGUAGGCCCUCAAAGGUAGUGGCGGACCCUCUCGGAGCCUCCUUUGCGUAGUAACUUUACGUCUCGCACUGGGAUCCGGAGGGACUCUUGCCGUAAAACCCCCAAUUUUCCAAAGGUUGACCUCGGAUCAGGUAGGAAUACCCGCUGAACUUAAGCAUAUCAAUAA
RNAcentral lists this ribosomal RNA (579 nucleotides) under Colletotrichum gloeosporioides. RNAcentral's name for it is "eukaryotic LSU rRNA". The stretch from base 216 to 369 matches the Rfam family "5.8S ribosomal RNA". The record is from RNAcentral. Lineage: Eukaryota; Fungi; Ascomycota; Sordariomycetes; Glomerellales; Glomerellaceae.